Molecule: ribosomal RNA, 2599 nt
Filed under: Clostridioides difficile
Lineage: Bacteria; Bacillati; Bacillota; Clostridia; Peptostreptococcales; Peptostreptococcaceae
Description: bacterial LSU rRNA
Rfam family: Bacterial large subunit ribosomal RNA
Source: RNAcentral
UGGUCAAGUUAUUAAGGGUGCAGGGCGGAUGCCUUGGCACUAGGAGCCGAUGAAGGACGUGAUAAGCUGCGAUAAGCUUCGGGGAGUUGCACGUAAACUUUGAUCCGAAGAUUUCCGAAUGAGGAAACUCACUUAGAGUAAUGUCUAAGUAUCAUUAAGUGAAUACAUAGCUUAAUGAGGGGAACUCAGGGAACUGAAACAUCUAAGUACCUGAAGGAAGAGAAAGAAAUUCGAUUCCGUAAGUAGCGGCGAGCGAACGCGGAUUAGCCCAAACCAAUAAAGUUUUCUUUAUUGGGGUUGCGGACAUAUCAUAACGAAGAGGUAUCGUAAUUGAAGAGGUUUGGAAAGACCCACCACAGAAGGUAAUAGUCCUGUAUGUUAAACGAGAAGACUUCAGAUAUGAUCCAGAGUACCACGGGACACGUGAAACCCUGUGGGAAGCAGGAGGGACCACCCUCCAAGGCUAAAUACUACCUAGUGACCGAUAGCGUAUAGUACCGUGAGGGAAAGGUGAAAAGAACCCCGGGAGGGGAGUGAAAUAGAACCUGAAACCCUGCACUUACAAGCUGUGGAAGCACAUUUCUUGUGUGACCGCGUACUUUUUGUAGAACGGGCCAACGAGUUACGUUAAGUAGCAAGGUUAAGCACUUAAGGUGCGGAGCCGUAGCGAAAGCGAGUUUUAACUGAGCGUUCAGUUACUUGACGUAGACCCGAAACCGGGCGACCUACCCAUGAGCAGGAUGAAGCGAAAGUAAAAUUUCGUGGAGGUCCGAACCCACGAGCGUUGAAAAGCUCGGGGAUGACUUGUGGGUAGCGGUGAAAUUCCAAUCGAGCCCGGAGAUAGCUGGUUCUCCCCGAAAUAGCUUUAGGGCUAGCCUCAAGGUGAGAGAUACGGAGGUAGAGCACUGAAUGUCCUAGGGGGUAUUGCACCUACCGAAGACUAUCAAACUCCGAAUGCCGUCAUCUUAUACUUGGGAGUCAGACUGUGGGUGAUAAGAUUCAUAGUCGAAAGGGCAACAGCCCAGAUCGUCAGCUAAGGUCCCUAAAUGUAAGUUAAGUGGUAAAGGAUGUGGGAUUGCACAGACAACCAGGAUGUUGGCUUAGAAGCAGCCACUCAUUCAAAGAGUGCGUAAUAGCUCACUGGUCGAGUGAUCCUGCGCCGAAGAUUUCCGGGGCUAAAACUUACUACCGAAGCUACGGCAUCAGUAAUGAUGGGUAGGGGAGCUUCCCAUACGGGUUGAAGCAUGACCGUAAGGACAUGUGGACAGUAUGGGAGUGAGAAUGUUGGCAUGAGUAGCGAGAUGUGGGUGAGAAUCCCACAGGCCGUAAACCCAAGGUUUCCAGGGGAAGGUUCGUCCGCCCUGGGUUAGUCGGGACCUAAGCUGAGGCCGAAAGGCGUAGGUGAUGGACAACAGGUUGAUAUUCCUGUACUACCGAUAACCGUUUGAGAGAAGGGAUGACACAGUAGGAUAAGCUAAGCACACUGUUGGUUAUGUGUGCCCAAGCAUUGAGGCAGUCAAAGUAGGCAAAUCCGCUUUGAUAAUGCUGGGAUGUGAUGGGGAGCGAAAUUUAGUAGCGAAGUAGCUGAUUUCACACUGUCAAGAAAAGUCUCUAUCGAGGUUAAAGGUACCCGUACCGCAAACCGACACAGGUGGGUGAGGAGAGUAUCCUAAGGCCAGCGAGAGAACUGUUGUUAAGGAACUCGGCAAAAUGACCCCGUAACUUAGGGAUAAGGGGUGCCACCAUCAGGUGGCCGCAGAGAAUAGGCCCAAGCGACUGUUUACCAAAAACAUAGGUUUCUGCUAAGUCGCAAGACGAUGUAUAGGAGCUGACGCCUGCCCGGUGCUGGAAGGUUAAGGGGAUCUGUUAGAGCAAUCGAAGCAGUGAACUUAAGCCCCAGUAAACGGCGGCCGUAACUAUAACGGUCCUAAGGUAGCGAAAUUCCUUGUCGGGUAAGUUCCGACCCGCACGAAAGGCGUAACGAUUUGGGCACUGUCUCAACAACAGACUCGGUGAAAUUGUAAUUCCGGUGAAGAUGCCGGAUACCUGCGACAGGACGGAAAGACCCCAUGGAGCUUUACUGUAGCUUGACAUUGGGUCUUGGUACUACAUGUACAGGAUAGGUGGGAGGCUUUGAAACCAGGACGCCAGUUUUGGCGGAGCCAUCCUUGGGAUACCACCCUUGUAGUACUGGGACUCUAACCAUAGGCCAUGAAUCUGGUCUUGGGACACUGUCAGGUGGGCAGUUUGACUGGGGCGGUCGCCUCCCAAAAGGUAACGGAGGCGCUCAAAGGUUCUCUCAGUACGGUCGGAAAUCGUACGUAGAGUGUAAAGGCAAAAGAGAGCUUGAUUGCAAGACAUACAGGUCGAGCAAGGAUGAAAAUCGGACUUAGUGAUCCGGUGGUUCUGCGUGGAAGGGCCAUCGCUCAACGGAUAAAAGCUACCCUGGGGAUAACAGGCUUAUCUCCCCCAAGAGUCCACAUCGACGGGGAGGUUUGGCACCUCGAUGUCGGCUCAUCACAUCCUGGGGCUGUAGUAGGUCCCAAGGGUUGGGCUGUUCGCCCAUUAAAGUGGUACGCGAGCUGGGUUCAGAACGUCG